GACGAACGCUGGUGGCGUGCCUAAUACAUGCAAGUCGAGCGAGUCUGCCUUGAAGAUCGGAGUGCUUGCACUCUGUGAAACAAGAUACAGGCUAGCGGCGGACGGGUGAGUAACACGUGGGUAACCUGCCCAAGAGAUCGGGAUAACACCUGGAAACAGAUGCUAAUACCGGAUAACAACAGAUGAUGCCUAUCAACUGUUUAAUAGAUGGUUCUGCUAUCACUCUUGGAUGGACCUGCGGUGCAUUAGCUAGUUGGUAGGGUAACGGCCUACCAAGGCGAUGAUGCAUAGCCGAGUUGAGAGACUGAUCGGCCACAUUGGAACUGAGACACGGCCCAAACUCCUACGGGAGGCAGCAGUAGGGAAUCUUCCACAAUGGACGAAAGUCUGAUGGAGCAACGCCGCGUGAGUGAAGAAGGGUUUCGGAUCGUAAAGCUCUGUUGUUGGUGAAGAAGGAAAGGGGUAGUAACUGACCUUUGUUUGACGGUAAUCAAUUAGAAAGUCACGGCUAACUACGUG
RNAcentral lists this ribosomal RNA (519 nucleotides) under uncultured bacterium. RNAcentral's name for it is "partial 16S ribosomal RNA". It matches the Rfam family "Bacterial small subunit ribosomal RNA", at positions 28 to 507 of the family's 1533-position model. The record is from RNAcentral.